RNAcentral lists this long non-coding RNA (2183 nucleotides) under Olea europaea subsp. europaea. Lineage: Eukaryota; Viridiplantae; Streptophyta; Magnoliopsida; Lamiales; Oleaceae. The record is from RNAcentral.
UCAAGAAUUUCAAGGCGAUGGUGAAAAAUCAAAGUGUCACAAAAUCAAAACCUCAUAAUCAAAUCAUGGUAGUGAAUAUAUUAGCAACACAUUCAAGAGUAUAUGUAAAGAUCAUGGUAUUUAUCAUUCUUUAAUGGCAAAGAGGACGAGUAGGACUCAUAAAAAUGACUCCAUGCUUUUUGAAAACUAAGAAGAUGCAAAAGAAGUUCUAGGCCGAAGCUACUCAGUGUGCCAUAUCUUUGUUGAAUCGCUGUCCCAUCGAAGUGUGCAAAAUGACUCCAAAGGAAGCAUGGAGUGGAUUCCAGCCAAGUAUAUCACAUUUUUUGAUUUUCAAGAGCGUUACUUUAUCUCAUGUUCUGAAAGAAAAGAUAAAACUAGAUGCAAGAGAGAAAUAUAUCUUAGUUGGCUAUGUUCAAGAUCAAAAGUUAAUAAGCUAUACAACCCAAUGAAUAAGUAGGUGAUCACUAGUAGAGAUGUUUUGUUCAACAUUGGAAUUGGCUAAAGCAGCAAGAUUAUAACAUAAUUUUUUUCCUUUCCAUGAUGAUGAACAAGUUGAUGUGAUUCCCUCUCAACUAACACCAUCAACUCCACCUCCAAGUUAUGGUCAAGAUAUACGUUCAUCUUCAUCAUUUUCAAGUAAAAUACCACAUCAUUUUAAUAGUCUUAGAGAGAUUUAUGGUGAUACAGAGGAGUUAUGUCAACAUCUUGGGAAAUUAACUUUGUUUUGUCUAUUUACCGAUCAUGCUGCUAUUGAUUUCAAGGACACAAUUCAAGAUGAUAAAUGAAAGAAAGACAUUAAAGAAAUGAUUAAAGCAAUUAAGAAUGAUUAGGCAAUUGGAAACUAGUUGAGUGGACAAGAUGUUUAUUUGUUUAGGAGUGGAUUAGAAAAUUAAUUAAUUAACGAGAAGAAAAUUAUACAAUAAAAUAUUACAUUAAUCGGGGUCCAAUUGCAUGAUUCUCCUUGGGUUGGAGAAGACUCACUCUCGAAUCUUUAGUCACUCAUCCAACACCUCACAAGGACAGUGAUUCAACAAAUAUGUAAAUUUCAUAGAUAUUAUCCAUAUAUCUUGAUUCUAAAGAUCAUGAAAAAAUCACGCAAUUAAUUAAAUUUUUUCACUUCUAUCCGACAGUAUCCCAACAAAUUCACUGAAACAUUUAGAGUUAUUGCGUUGCAAAAUUUUGGGAUUUCCAAAUGGUCCAAGUAUAUUUGACCCUAUGACUUUUUCAACCACGUGGCCUUCUACUAGAAACUGACCAUUUAAGUGUGCAAAUUAUUUCAUUUACAUCAUUGCGGUUCCAAUUUUACCAACUGCCAUAAUUUCAUGAUGAUCAUCUUAUGACAUUGAGAGUUGAUUCUCAAAAUCAGUAAGUUGAUCCAUAUUCUUCCUCAAAGAUUUAUAAAUUUGUGUCCGACUCCAUCUUAACAUCGAUACAACAAUAUGAAUUGUUGUCCCCACAGGUGUUGCUCGCCAAUCUCAUAACCAACGUUAGCCCCUCAAUUCCUGGAAAACUCUUCAUCUCUGUGUUUUCCAUUUGCAACAUAUCUACAGUCAAGCUCUCGACUAAACCCAUCAUUGCACUAGUCUCUUUUAGCCAUAACAUGCAUGCCAUUGCCACCGCCUCGUGCCUCUCACCCAUCUUCAUAAAGGUCACUCACCGUCUACUGUGGAGGGAUAACCAAUCUGGCCACCUUUUUGUGUCACAACCUGAGGAUAUUGACAAAUUUGUAUUAGCUCAUGUCUACGGUUUCCAUUAUCAACCAUGAAAAUAAGACGUUUAACCUGUCCUCCUCGAUCCAUUAUUGGGAGCAUAGACUAACUAUGAUAUCAACUAACACAUGCAAAAGCUUAAAUAAUAACAAAUACGGGAUUAAAAAUGAAAAUUCCCAUACAAAUUAAUCAUUUAGGUGGAUAAAUGUAAAAUAAAAAAAUAAAAAUAAAUCUCAAACUUUCUAUUCAUAUCAAAAAUCAACCACCCUACAAUUCAAUUAUAACACUAAAUUUAUUCAACACUCCUAACUAGCCUUUUAAGCAAAACAAACUCAAGAAAAUUUACUUAUUUCGAUUAAACUCCCAAUCCUCAUAAAAUGAUAAUAGACUAGUCAAUUAAAAUAAUAAAAUUGAACAAUAUAAUCUUAAAUUAAACGGACUCUUGCAUUAUAGAUUUAUUUGGCCACAUGGAGG